AGAGUUUGAUCCUGGCUCAGGACGAACGCUGGCGGCGUGCUUAACACAUGCAAGUCGAGCGGUAAGGCCCUUUCGGGGGUACACGAGCGGCGAACGGGUGAGUAACACGUGGGUGACCUGCCCUCAGCUCUGGGAUAAGCCCGGGAAACUGGGUCUAAUACCGGAUAUGACUCCACGGUGCAUGUCGUGGGGUGGAAAGCCUUGUGCGGCUGAGGAUGGGCCCGCGGCCUAUCAGCUUGUUGGUGGGGUGAUGGCCUACCAAGGCGACGACGGGUAGCCGGCCUGAGAGGGCGACCGGCCACACUGGGACUGAGACACGGCCCAGACUCCUACGGGAGGCAGCAGUGGGGAAUCUUGCGCAAUGGGCGAAAGCCUGACGCAGCGACGCCGCGUGAGGGAUGACGGCCUUCGGGUUGUAAACCUCUUUCAGCUCCGACGAAGCGGAAGUGACGGUAGGAGCAGAAGAAGCACCGGCCAACUACGUGCCAGCAGCCGCGGUAAUACGUAGGGUGCAAGCGUUGUCCGGAAUUAUUGGGCGUAAAGAGCUCGUAGGCGGUCUGUCGCGUCGGCUGUGAAAACUCGGGGCUCAACUCCGAGCUUGCAGUCGAUACGGGCAGGCUAGAGUUCGGCAGGGGAGACUGGAAUUCCUGGUGUAGCGGUGAAAUGCGCAGAUAUCAGGAGGAACACCGGUGGCGAAGGCGGGUCUCUGGGCCGAUACUGACGCUGAGGAGCGAAAGCGUGGGGAGCGAACAGGAUUAGAUACCCUAGUAGUCC
RNAcentral lists this ribosomal RNA (774 nucleotides) under uncultured bacterium. RNAcentral's name for it is "bacterial SSU rRNA". It matches the Rfam family "Bacterial small subunit ribosomal RNA", at positions 8 to 796 of the family's 1533-position model. The record is from RNAcentral.